Molecule: ribosomal RNA, 429 nt
Filed under: Bacillota bacterium
Lineage: Bacteria; Bacillati; Bacillota
Description: Firmicutes bacterium partial 16S ribosomal RNA
Rfam family: Bacterial small subunit ribosomal RNA
Source: RNAcentral
UAGGGAAUCUUCCGCAAUGGACGAAAGUCUGACGGAGCAACGCCGCGUGAGUGAUGAAGGUUUUCGGAUCGUAAAACUCUGUUGUUAGGGAAGAACAAGUUGGGUAGUAACUGACCCAACCUUGACGGUACCUAACCAGAAAGCCACGGCUAACUACGUGCCAGCAGCCGCGGUAAUACGUAGGUGGCAAGCGUUGUCCGGAAUUAUUGGGCGUAAAGCGCUCGCAGGCGGUCUUUUAAGUCUGAUGUGAAAGCCCACGGCUUAACCGUGGAAGGUCAUUGGAAACUGGAGGACUUGAGUACAGAAGAGGAGAGUGGAAUUCCACGUGUAGCGGUGAAAUGCGUAGAAAUGUGGAGGAACACCAGUGGCGAAGGCGACUCUCUGGUAUGUAACUGACGCUGAGGAGCGAAAGCGUGGGUAGCGAACAGG